This 777-nucleotide ribosomal RNA is filed under the name Lacticaseibacillus paracasei. RNAcentral's name for it is "bacterial SSU rRNA". It matches the Rfam family "Bacterial small subunit ribosomal RNA", at positions 1 to 741 of the family's 1533-position model. The record is from RNAcentral. Lineage: Bacteria; Bacillati; Bacillota; Bacilli; Lactobacillales; Lactobacillaceae.
UUUAUAUGAGAGUUUGAUCCUGGCUCAGGAUGAACGCUGGCGGCGUGCCUAAUACAUGCAAGUCGAACGAGUUCUCGUUGAUGAUUGGUGCUUGCACCGAGAUUCAACAUGGAACGAGUGGCGGACGGGUGAGUAACACGUGGGUAACCUGCCCUUAAGUGGGGGAUAACAUUUGGAAACAGAUGCUAAUACCGCAUAGAUCCAAGAACCGCAUGGUUCUUGGCUGAAAGAUGGCGUAAGCUAUCGCUUUUGGAUGGACCCGCGGCGUAUUAGCUAGUUGGUGAGGUAAYGGCUCACCAAGGCGAUGAUACGUAGCCGAACUGAGAGGUUGAUCGGCCACAUUGGGACUGAGACACGGCCCAAACUCCUACGGGAGGCAGCAGUAGGGAAUCUUCCACAAUGGACGCAAGUCUGAUGGAGCAACGCCGCGUGAGUGAAGAAGGCUUUCGGGUCGUAAAACUCUGUUGUUGGAGAAGAAUGGUCGGCAGAGUAACUGUUGCCGGCGUGACGGUAUCCAACCAGAAAGCCACGGCUAACUACGUGCCAGCAGCCGCGGUAAUACGUAGGUGGCAAGCGUUAUCCGGAUUUAUUGGGCGUAAAGCGAGCGCAGGCGGUUUUUUAAGUCUGAUGUGAAAGCCCUCGGCUUAACCGAGGAAGCGCAUCGGAAACUGGGAAACUUGAGUGCAGAAGAGGACAGUGGAACUCCAUGUGUAGCGGUGAAAUGCGUAGAUAUAUGGAAGAACACCAGUGGCGAAGGCGGCUGUCUGGUCUGUAACU